AGUGAACGCUGGCGGUAGGCCUAACACAUGCAAGUCGAACGGCAGCACAGGAGAGCUUGCUCUCUGGGUGGCGAGUGGCGGACGGGUGAGGAAUACAUCGGAAUCUACUUUUUCGUGGGGGAUAACGUAGGGAAACUUACGCUAAUACCGCAUACGACCUACGGGUGAAAGCAGGGGACCUUCGGGCCUUGCGCGAUUAAAUGAGCCGAUGUCGGAUUAGCUAGUUGGCGGGGUAAAGGCCCACCAAGGCGACGAUCCGUAGCUGGUCUGAGAGGAUGAUCAGCCACACUGGAACUGAGACACGGUCCAGACUCCUACGGGAGGCAGCAGUGGGGAAUAUUGGACAAUGGGCGUAAGCCUGAUCCAGCCAUACCGCGUGGGUGAAGAAGGCCUUCGGGUUGUAAAGCCCUUUUGUUGGGAAAGAAAUCCAGCUGGCUAAUACCCGGUUGGGAUGACGGUACCCAAAGAAUAAGCACCGGCUAACUUCGUGCCAGCAGCCGCGGUAA
RNAcentral lists this ribosomal RNA (506 nucleotides) under uncultured bacterium. RNAcentral describes it as "partial 16S ribosomal RNA". It matches the Rfam family "Bacterial small subunit ribosomal RNA", at positions 29 to 523 of the family's 1533-position model. The record is from RNAcentral.